GGUGUUCCCUCUGGGGGCUGGAGAGGUGAUUUGAACCAGGUGCGGGGAAUUUAAUUAAUUAAGUAGUUUGCUGUGUUUGGAGCUGGAGCUUGAGUGCAGCAGUCUGCUGGAGAGAAGUCCUCAAGUGUUUGCUGUUGACUGCUUUGCAAAUACUUUGCUAAGGACUGGAGAUCCUGGUUAGCUUUGACUAGCUUGGCAUGUACCUAAUAGAAAACAGUGAGAGAAAUGCGGAUGAAACCCUGCUGCGCCCCUGCUCCCCUGAAGCCCCCCAGAAACCCUCCAGCAGCCGUGGAGCCCCCCACCGACCCCCAGCACAGCUGGAGUUACUACAGCAAGCAGCAAAAUCCAUGAAGAUCCUGAAAUGAGUUCCUGCAGACAGAGCCAGUGCCACUAACUCUUGAUUUUAAUACUUACUGCAACUGGAAGCACAAAGGCUGUAAAGGCCAGACUGACUUUGAACUUGGAUAUUCAGCUCGGUGUUGCAAGCCAGAGUGGGACAGAAUUUGUGAUCCAGAGAGGGAGUGGGAAUGGUGCUCCGAUAUCGGUGGCACCUUGAAGAUGGAGGAGGAGGAGGAAGGCCCUGUAGUGCUGGAUACCAUCCAAAUGUAUAGUAAUAGAAAGUUCCUUCUCAAUGGAGUAUACAUAAGACCAAACAAGCCUGGGAGGGGAAAGGUCCUUGAAAGGAAAAGUGACUUGGCCAAAGUCAUACAACAAUAAAUGCAGAUCACAAAUCCAGAUCCUGUGAUCCUGCCUACAUUCUGUGCUGCUGUUAUGGCUUUCCAUUAGAAUACCAUUAUUUUUUAACACAAAAUCUUUACUUAUUUUACAAUGAAAGAAAGUGAAGAGCUAAAAUACAUUUUAAAAAAAGGUUGGUCAUUCUGAAUUCCUGUUAAUAAAAUAAAAUUAAAAAACAACAAACAGAUAUUUCAAUGAUGCACCCUAUUUGAUGGAUGAAAACUUUUGUUGAUUACAUCCAAAUUCAUUGGUGAGUCAAAGAAGAGGGUUUUUUAUUUAUUUAUUUAUUUAUUUAUUUAUUUAUUGGUUUCAAUUUUGUGGUGAAUGUCUACACUUGCAUGUCUAUACUUUUAUAAAAUUCCAUUCAAGCUCUAUUUAAUAUGCACCAGAAUUAUUGUACUUGUAUAUCAACUUUAAAUCUGCUUCAAUACAACCUUAAAUGCCUUUCUUGCAGUAUAUCACUUCAUCAGUCUAGCUUAACUAGAGCUACUUUGUCAUUUUUUAUUGCCCCCAUAAAAUCUACGAAUGGAACACUUGGAUUUUCUAGCAGUAAGUUUUAUUACUUAGGCUUUUUUUAAAGUACUUGUCAAUGAGAUACAGUACUUGCACAGAGUACAUUUUUCAGCUCUGCAUUAUACUGUUAUUUCAAUUUAUUUUAGACAGAAUACGUAACAUUCAUCUAAAUAAUACCUAUGGUAUUUUAAAUGAGUGUAUUCUGAAUAUAAUUAGAAUGGAUAUAAAGCUACUUCGUCCAUCAAGAUUCCUAUAUUUUGUUGCCUGCAUCUAAGCGUAUGGCAUCUUUCAAGUAAGCCUUUAAAUGAUAACUCACAUUGUGCUUUUAAUGCUGCACAUAAAAUCAUAUCACAAUGUGGGGGAGGGAGGGAAAUUAGUUUCUUGUAAUUUUUAUGUUUUAAUUUCCAUUUUUUUAGAGCUGUCUAGAUUUUUCCUUGGAGUGAGUUGUACCAGAACUUUUUAUUCCCCUCCCCUCCACAACCUUAGGCAUGUAGAAAUUGCCAUAUUAGAUCAGGUCGGUGAUCUAUCUUGUCUAGUAGUCUGCCUGUUUCUUAGACUCGUAACAGGAAAAUGUGAAAUAUGAUGCUACGUGUUAGGGAAAUGCCUGUUCACUGAGCGAGAUUCUUCCUAACCCGCUUCAGUUUUAGUUUAGUGUGUGCCCUGUAGUACAAAGAUUUAUAGCUUUCCCAGAAAAAAAAUGGACAAACAGUUGUUUAAUUCUCCCCUUCCCUUCCCUCAUUGGAGAUAUUGGUUCUAUUCUAGGUCCUGCUGCCUUUCUUGACUUUCCUCAGGCAAGUCAUUUCACCUUUCUGUUCCUUGAUUUCCUCUUGUGUCAUUAUCCUGACCUUAGGUUAAAGCCUUGAGGACCUACAAAUCAAAUAUACAAUUUAAGAUCUAGACAGUAGUGGAUUUAAAACAUAUUUUAAUUCUUAAUAUUGUAACUGCAGAUGUUCACACCAUUCAUCUAAAUGUCCAGUUCUUUGGUAAUGCUGAACAUCUCUUGGCCCCAGUGGUGUAUUGUGGCUCAAUGUUCCACUCUCUAAUUGUAUACUAUGUAAGAAUUAUUUUUUUUUGUUUUUAAUCAGUUAAAGUGAACUGUUAUUUUCCAGAAAUCUUAGGGAUUGAAGAUGACAUGGGGUAGAGAGGCAGCUUUGCAUAUCAACUGAUGGAUGAAAUUGUGUGUUUACAGUCAGCAUUUGCAUUAAAACAUCCAAUUAGCUUUUGCACUGUUUCCAUUAGUAGUGUUAAAUGUGAACUUAUAUACAUGAGAAAUUAAUGUUUCUGUAAGAAAAAGAAAACUGUAACCAGAUGCGUCUAAACAGCCCUCCUCAGCUAUGUAAUAAAUAUCCCCUUGUUAUUCUCAUUAUGUUGAAUGAAUAUUAAUAAUACAUUUUAAAUAAUACCUAUCAUAAUAUAGCGUGAGUGGGGAAUAGGAACACCUCUCUAACUAAUUAGAGCUGUUGAAUGACAUUGGGAAAGGGUUCUGGGUUGAAUCACCGUUCCUUGGACAGGAUUGAAUUAGCAUAGUUUUAAUGCCAGUGAUAAUUCUAUGCAGUUGUGAGAUAAGUAGUUUAAUGCAUCUGGCAGAGAGACAGGGAUUUUCUUUCUCUUACAGCACUGAAUAACCCCCUAUAAUCCUUUUCCUUUAGCGCUCACGUCUAUCCAGGCUUCAGUUUAAUAAAAGGCCAAAGAAAUCAGGAUUCUGCUGAGCUUCUGUGGCUCAAACACAGAGAGAAUGAGAUGUUAUCUCAGGGUGGUUGUGGUUCAGAAUCAUUAAAAAGAUGAAUGGGGGGAUUGGAGGGGUAUGUUUAUAUUUCCAAUUGCUUGUAUACUGCAGAAGACACCCUUCUUAACAGUAAAGUGUAUAUGCUUUCUUUAAUCCAGUAGCCCAAGAACUAAGAGGACAAAAGAGAGCUUGGAGCAAUCACUACUUCGGAGUUUUAUUUUUACAACAUUUUGUAUAUGUUUGUAUUAAUUUGUAUUAAAGCUGGACCAAAUCUG
Molecule: long non-coding RNA, 3249 nt
Organism: Alligator mississippiensis (American alligator)
Lineage: Eukaryota; Metazoa; Chordata; Crocodylia; Alligatoridae
Exons: 5
Source: RefSeq, a predicted model, not a curated record